RNAcentral lists this small RNA (29 nucleotides) under Bombyx mori (domestic silkworm). RNAcentral describes it as "ovarian small RNA-18709". The record is from RNAcentral. Lineage: Eukaryota; Metazoa; Arthropoda; Insecta; Lepidoptera; Bombycidae.
UAACCAGGAAUAGCGGGGCCGCCGGGGAC